This is a small nucleolar RNA of Capsicum annuum, 107 nucleotides long. The record is from RefSeq and is a predicted model, not a curated record. NCBI's taxonomy places the organism in Eukaryota, Viridiplantae, Streptophyta, Magnoliopsida, Solanales, Solanaceae.
UGAUGGUGAUGAGGAUACUUUCUGAGCAUGCCCUUAAAUCUCUCCGAAGCUUGGUAGAGAUUUUCUCAAUCUUUCUAUUUGAAGCUCAAUAUCUCACUCCUCAAUUU